RNAcentral lists this ribosomal RNA (465 nucleotides) under Vreelandella stevensii. Its description in RNAcentral is "partial 16S ribosomal RNA". It matches the Rfam family "Bacterial small subunit ribosomal RNA", at positions 338 to 795 of the family's 1533-position model. The record is from RNAcentral. Lineage: Bacteria; Pseudomonadati; Pseudomonadota; Gammaproteobacteria; Oceanospirillales; Halomonadaceae.
CCUACGGGAGGCUGCAGUGGGGAAUAUUGGACAAUGGGGGCAACCCUGAUCCAGCCAUGCCGCGUGUGUGAAGAAGGCCCUCGGGUUGUAAAGCACUUUCAGUGAGGAAGAACGCCUGGUGGUUAAUACCCAUCAGGAAAGACAUCACUCACAGAAGAAGCACCGGCUAACUCCGUGCCAGCAGCCGCGGUAAUACGGAGGGUGCGAGCGUUAAUCGGAAUUACUGGGCGUAAAGCGCGCGUAGGUGGCUUGAUAAGCCGGUUGUGAAAGCCCCGGGCUCAACCUGGGAACGGCAUCCGGAACUGUCAAGCUAGAGUGCAGGAGAGGAAGGUAGAAUUCCCGGUGUAGCGGUGAAAUGCGUAGAGGUCGGGAGGAAUACCAGUGGCGAAGGCGGCCUUCUGGACUGACACUGACACUGAGGUGCGAAAGCGUGGGUAGCAAACAGGAUUAGAUACCCGAGUAGUC